Molecule: ribosomal RNA, 440 nt
Filed under: Escherichia coli
Lineage: Bacteria; Pseudomonadati; Pseudomonadota; Gammaproteobacteria; Enterobacterales; Enterobacteriaceae
Description: partial 23S ribosomal RNA
Rfam family: Bacterial large subunit ribosomal RNA
Source: RNAcentral
CGUGGUAUCCUGUCUGAAUAUGGGGGGACCAUCCUCCAAGGCUAAAUACUCCUGACUGACCGAUAGUGAACCAGUACCGUGAGGGAAAGGCGAAAAGAACCCCGGCGAGGGGAGUGAAAAAGAACCUGAAACCGUGUACGUACAAGCAGUGGGAGCACGCUUAGGCGUGUGACUGCGUACCUUUUGUAUAAUGGGUCAGCGACUUAUAUUCUGUAGCAAGGUUAACCGAAUAGGGGAGCCGAAGGGAAACCGAGUCUUAACUGGGCGUUAAGUUGCAGGGUAUAGACCCGAAACCCGGUGAUCUAGCCAUGGGCAGGUUGAAGGUUGGGUAACACUAACUGGAGGACCGAACCGACUAAUGUUGAAAAAUUAGCGGAUGACUUGUGGCUGGGGGUGAAAGGCCAAUCAAACCGGGAGAUAGCUGGUUCUCCCCGAAAGCU